GAGGGUAUAGCUCAGUGGCAGAGUGUAUGCUUAGCAUGCGUGAGGUCCUGGGUUCAAACCCAGUACCUCCA
Molecule: transfer RNA, 71 nt
Filed under: Camelus dromedarius (Arabian camel)
Lineage: Eukaryota; Metazoa; Chordata; Mammalia; Artiodactyla; Camelidae
Also listed under: 1 other name
Rfam family: tRNA
About the family: Transfer RNA (tRNA) molecules are approximately 80 nucleotides in length. Their secondary structure includes four short double-helical elements and three loops (D, anti-codon, and T loops).
Source: Rfam by way of RNAcentral